AUGCUGGGAAUGCUYCGGUAACUCAAAGUCCGGCGCCUUAGGAUGGAUCUGCGGCCGAUUAGGUAGUGUGGGUAACGGCCCCACAAGCCCGUAAUCGGUACGGGUUGUGGGAGCAAGAGCCCGGAGUUGGAUUCUGAGACACGAAUCCAGGCCCUACGGGGCGCAGCAGGCGCGAAAACUUUACAAUGCGGGCAACCGUGAUAAGGGAACCUCGAGUGCCUGUAAAUGCAGGCUGUUUAGGUGUUUAAAACGCACCUGGAGAAAGGGCCGGGCAAGACCGGUGCCAGCCGCCGCGGUAAUACCGGCGGCUCGAGUGGUGGCCACUUUUAUUGGGCUUAAAGCGUUCGUAGCUGGGUUGUUAAGUCUCUUGGGAAAUCUGGCGGCUUAACCGUCAGGCGUCUAAGGGAUACUGGCAAUCUUGGAACCGGGAGAGGUGAGGGGUACUUCGGGGGUAGGAGUGAAAUCCUGUAAUCCUCGAGGGACCACCUGUGGMRAAGGCGCCUCACCAGAACGGCUUCGACAGUGAGGGACGAAAGCUGGGGGAGCAAACCGGAUUAGAUACCCGGGUAGUCCCAGCCGUAAACUAUGCGCGUUAGGUGUAUCGGUGACCACGAGUUACCGAGGUGCCGAAGGGAAACCGUGAAACGUGCCGCCUGGGAAGUACGGUCGCAAGGCUGAAACUUAAAGGAAUUGGCGGGGGAG
This 702-nucleotide ribosomal RNA is filed under the name uncultured Methanoculleus sp. RNAcentral describes it as "bacterial SSU rRNA". It matches the Rfam family "Archaeal small subunit ribosomal RNA", at positions 167 to 876 of the family's 1478-position model. Lineage: Archaea; Methanobacteriati; Methanobacteriota; Methanomicrobia; Methanomicrobiales; Methanomicrobiaceae. The record is from RNAcentral.